Molecule: non-coding RNA, 386 nt
Organism: Maylandia zebra (zebra mbuna)
Lineage: Eukaryota; Metazoa; Chordata; Actinopteri; Cichliformes; Cichlidae
Source: RefSeq, a predicted model, not a curated record
CCUGCUCCUCCACCCUCCAAAGACAGUGCUGCCGGAGGGCUUUUCCAGCCAAUUAGCACCACCUUGAUUUGCAUUUGCCCCGCCUGGUCCUGCCACAGCAUCAGAAGAUACUCCGGGGUCGGGGCUUUUCUCUGACUGUAGUAACUGAAAUGGAUGAUACCAUCUGCCCGCUAAGACUACACCGUCCCAAAACCAGGGUGCUGUAAUCAGUACUCUGGCAGUGGGGGUCUCCUAUCAGCUUUGCAUUACAUCCCCAGCAGAUGUGCAGGCUGCAGGCAGCAGCCCGUCUGUGUCGCUCUGCAACUCUCUCAAGUCUCCGAAAGAGUCAACUCUGCCUGCAUCUGUGUGGUUGAUCUGUCACCAUGAAGCAUCAGUCUAUUUCCCGA